UCAAACCGUAUUCACCAUUCGGAGCCUCAGUCUUCACUUGAAAUAUACUGAUCGCCUGAAAUAUUUGACAUAUCAACGCCUUUUGAUACUACUCUGUCUCCACCAAUUCAUCAAAUCCUUCUGAUAAACCAUCUAAAAACAAACUAAUUUUCUUAUAAACCAUUUAUAUAACACCACCGUCCAUUUUAAGGUAAGUAGAAUAUGAAUAACCUAUGAACUCGUGUUACACCAUUAAUCAAAUCAUCAUUUACUUGUGUCUAAAAAAUACGUUACUACUUUAACGAACACAAGAUAACAAAAACACAGUUUCGCAGUUACUUCAAAGAUAUGAAUUUUAGUUGGCUUUAGACUUUAGAAGGCCACCUAAAAGUCAACUAUAGAAAUGCUGACUUUUGCUUACCAGAUUGCAACAUCGACUUUGACGAAAGAUAAACCGUUUCAUCGUCCUCCUCAUCUUUGAGCUCUGGAAUCAAAUCUCUCUCGGUGGGAAGCUGAAAAGCGUGAGCUUUGUUGAUAUUUUUGAGAAAAAGGAGAAUCAAUCGUUUGUGAGGUAGGGAGCAUUAAUGGCAGACGCAGUGGUUGCAUUUGGACUGCAGAAGCUCUGGGUGGAUCUGUUGUGCCUCUCAAAACCUUGCUGAAGGAGUUUUACCUUUGUCUCUCGGUGCAUCAUUGAAACACUUGGAGGAGUUAAUGUUAUACAAUAAAAGAAACAGCCAAGUCCAACACGCUAAGAUCAAUGCAGGAGCCCUUGUUUCCGGUUUCCAAAGACUUAACCAGUUAAGGUUAGAUAUAAGGAUUGACAAGUUACCCAAUGAACUUCAGUUCCCUUCCCGGAUCACCUCUCUUUCACUAUCCUCGUGUGGCUUAUCCGAGGAUCCAAUGCCAGUUCUUGAGAAGCUACACAGCUUAAAGAUUGUUAGUCUAGAACUGAAUGCAUUCACAGGGAGGAAAAUCGUCUGCUCGAAAGCCGGGUUCCCUAAACUGCAUACUCUAGAGUUUUCGAUACUCGACAAACUUAGAGGAAUGGAUGGUAGAAGAAGAGUCCAUGCCAUAUCUUUGUCAUUUGGAGAUCAAUGACUGUAGAAAGCUGAAGAGUCUUCCUGAUGGGUUAAGAUACAUAACUGGUUUAGAGGAGGUAAGAGUUGGAUGGAUGGAAAAUGCAUUCAAGGAUAAGUUAACCCAAGGUGGUGAAGAUUACUACAAAAUACAACAUGUAUCUUAUGUUGUGUUUCACAAUUGCGGUGAUGAAUGAUGAAGAAGUGCAAUAACAGAAUGAUUACAAGGAUCCUAAUCUUAUCUUUUAUGCUUAAUAAUGAUUUGUUUUGCAUGUAUUAUUUAUAACACUUCUUUCAAACUGUAUCUUUAGAGUUCUAUAACAAAGCACAAUCCAAAGAAAAGAGACAUAAUCGUUUCUCGACAUAGCCAAGUGAAACAUUAACCUUGAGUUCCUAAUAUUUUCUGAGUUGAUAUAUGAACAUGUCUCAAAUUGUCAAAAAAAAAAAAGAAGCUUUAUUAAAAUGUUUAUUAAAAUAUUUAUGGCCUCAAAAUCUUAGGACCAACCUUGAAACUAGAAGCAAAUGACCAAUAAAA
Brassica rapa (field mustard) is the source of this 1590-nucleotide long non-coding RNA. RefSeq lists it as uncharacterized. NCBI's taxonomy places the organism in Eukaryota, Viridiplantae, Streptophyta, Magnoliopsida, Brassicales, Brassicaceae. The record is from RefSeq and is a predicted model, not a curated record.